UCUUUUAUUCUCAACUUUCUAUUUAAACUCUCUUACAUCCUGUACUUCUCAAUUUUCUAUGACAUUCAUUAUUCAAUUUAUAAUUUUCAUACCUUAAAUCCUAAAAUUUAAGUCAAGUCUCUUCCCCUUUCUCAUCUUUGCAUACGCAACACAAUCUUUUUAGCUCCCCUCUCUUCGCAAGUAAGUAAAAUCUCAGUUCAUCACAUCAUCUCAUGGUUUGCUUUCAUACUUUGCUUUCUCCAAAUUGUCCUUGCCUUUUCCAGUCAAUCUCAAUUUCUUUUUUUUUUAUUAUAGACUUGAUUUUCUUUACCUCAGUUUGUAAAUUUUAUCAAAUGUAAUGCAUAAUCAUGGGCGACCCAAUUAAGGCCUAGGAGGGGGUUCAGCCCCUUCUGGGCCAUUAAUUAUUGUUUUAAAUGUACUCCAAGCCCUUUCUAAAAGAAUUAAAUAAAAAACAUUUAGACACAUUUUUCAUAUAACAAAAAACUUAUAGUUCAAUGGUAAGAAUGUUAUUUAAUAGUUUUAAAGUUCAUAUUCGGAUCUCAAUAGCCACAUUAUUUUAUUUUUUUAAAAUAUUUUGCGAAAACUACUUAGACAAAUGAUACUUUCAUGCAUUUAAAAUAAAUUGUUUAGUACUAUUAUU
RNAcentral lists this long non-coding RNA (640 nucleotides) under Citrus x clementina. RNAcentral describes it as "Citrus clementina (C. clementina) long non-coding RNA (CCLE_LNC004241)". The record is from RNAcentral. Lineage: Eukaryota; Viridiplantae; Streptophyta; Magnoliopsida; Sapindales; Rutaceae.